This is a long non-coding RNA of Eptesicus fuscus (big brown bat), 566 nucleotides long. RefSeq lists it as uncharacterized. The transcript is spliced from 4 exons. Lineage: Eukaryota; Metazoa; Chordata; Mammalia; Chiroptera; Vespertilionidae. The record is from RefSeq and is a predicted model, not a curated record.
UCUCUAGCUGUUGCACAAUCUCUCUCUCUCCCACCUGCCCACUUGCCUCUGUUGGAAACAUUGACUAGAACUUCUAAAAGAAAGAAUGCAUUGCCCUAUGUUAAUCUGUAUUUGGCUGAAAAUAAGAUAAAUUUCAAAGAAUUGUGGUUGGGUUUUUUUUUAAGGUGAUUGACUAAAUCACAGAAUCAAAGCAUGGAAAAGGAUGAACAGUGUCCACAGGUUUAAUGAGCAUUGAGUUUCCCCAGAAACACAGGAUUUAAACAAGGUUAUGAGCACAUCGGGUUCCAAAGCCUGGGAGGGACCAGGCAUAUCAGGAAGCAGAAAUGCAAGAGCAGAUCAUUCUAUCUGCAGAAAGUAGGGCAUUGUGCAAGCCCUCACCUCACCCCAGGCUUCAGUGCAGUCCCAUGAGGGAGAAGGAGCUCCGAUGACAGAGAUGGAAUGUGACACCAAGUGAACAGAAUUUUCUACAAUGCAAAAACUGUAAUUUUCAAUGAGAAACAAAUGUUUAUACUAAAAUAAUGCUGAACUGAUCUGAGAAACUUUGAAAACCAAGAGGCUGGAUUAGA